This 501-nucleotide long non-coding RNA is filed under the name Equus caballus (horse). RNAcentral describes it as "lncRNA (ENSECAG00000043987.1)". Lineage: Eukaryota; Metazoa; Chordata; Mammalia; Perissodactyla; Equidae. The record is from RNAcentral.
GCCGUCCUGACGCAAGUCGUCCACCUUUUCCGAACUUUAAUCUCCCACCUCUUAAGUCUUAGGAGCAUGAAUCGGCACGCCCAGGCUUGCUAAGAUGACCCAAAUGCAAAUGAGAGCCUGACCAAAACAUUUUUAAACUCUGUAUACGGAGUUAUUUUGAAAUCAGGACCAGAGCUAACUCUGCAGGAAGGAGGAAAAAACUUGAAAAAGAGCAUGUCCACAAAACAUCUCGUGACCUACAGAAGAGAAAACAGACCAUCAAGCUAGAAGGAGAAAAGACUGAUUGAGGGGAAGAUCAGAGUGGAUGAGAGGUAGAUAAUGGUAUCCAAGCCUGCGGACAGUGACUCCUGGUCUGGUCAAGCAAAGUGACCCCAGCCCUGGACGCUCAGCCCCAACAUCGACUGCUGUCCUGUCCUGGGUUUGCCUACUCUCACACCUCAUUCAUAUCUGACACUUCCCCUAUUUUGAGAAAGAAUGGGUCUUUAGUCACUUUUCACCACC